AAGCACUUCAUUAAAACUACAAGACAGCAAGGCCGAAAGCCUUUAGAAAUAAAACCGUAAAGUACAAGGCCAACCGAGCCCAAUCCAAACCCCUCAUCGCUGCCUGGAGCAAGGAAAAAGGAAAGCUGAUCGAAAGUGUCUGUUGAAGCAAGGAUGAAGUACCCACAUCCAACAGGAACGCCGGCGAGUAGGAAAUAACAACGUCUUCGUCAUGGCGGAGCUUGUCGGGGGCAUUGGCUGAGCUUUCAUAUCCUAAGCAUUCGAACGGGCGUCAGCAACCGGACAGUGAAAAUCUAGUGCAGCUUGAUCGUCGUUUCCAUGCACGAGCAAUCGAGGCUAAUUUGGAGAACGCAAGGGUAGUUAGCUGAGUUUUGCA
Molecule: long non-coding RNA, 376 nt
Filed under: Gossypium raimondii (Peruvian cotton)
Lineage: Eukaryota; Viridiplantae; Streptophyta; Magnoliopsida; Malvales; Malvaceae
Description: long non-coding RNA (GRAI_LNC011043)
Source: RNAcentral